ACUGGUGAUAACUGCAGGGAUGUAUUUGAAAGCCACUGUACCCAUUUUUCUAGAUGAAAAUAUCUUCCCUUGAAUGGCCCAAGUGAAGGUAAAUGACUUCUAGUCUGCCCUCUCUGAAACCCAUGCCCCACUGCUCAUCAAAGAAGACUGAGGUCCUCAAAGAUGAGAAUGGCUGCCUAUUAAAGACCCUUCCAAUAGACUGCAGUACAAUAAUAUCACCGACUUGGAAGGCUGACUAUACUGUAUGCUGUUCACCUUUAAACUAAUUUGCAUUUAUUGGAUUCCAAACAAAGAAUUCUCCUGCCGCCUUCUUAUUAGAAGGAAGUGACAGACAAAGAGAGCUGAAGAAACCCCCAAAACUGCAGAGGAGUUUAAAAAAUAAUUCAAUGAGGUUGAAACUAAAUAUAUGAGGGAAGGAUUAAGAAGCAUGCCAAUAAAUUAGAGUUUGUUGACUCCCUGAGCUCAAAUUGUGUUACAUACUAAUAACUCAG
RNAcentral lists this long non-coding RNA (491 nucleotides) under Heterocephalus glaber (naked mole-rat). Its description in RNAcentral is "lncRNA (ENSHGLG00000047161.1)". Lineage: Eukaryota; Metazoa; Chordata; Mammalia; Rodentia; Bathyergidae. The record is from RNAcentral.